RNAcentral lists this ribosomal RNA (205 nucleotides) under uncultured bacterium. RNAcentral's name for it is "partial 16S ribosomal RNA". It matches the Rfam family "Bacterial small subunit ribosomal RNA", at positions 131 to 334 of the family's 1533-position model. The record is from RNAcentral.
UCUUUGUGGGGGAUAACUAGCCGAAAGGUUAGCUAAUACCGCAUACGAUCUUCGAGAGACAUCUCUUGAAGAUGAAAGGAGCAAUCCGCAGAGAGACGGGACCGCGUCCCAUUAGCCAGUUGGUGGGGUAACGGCCUACCAAAGCAACGAUGGGUAGCUGGCUUGAGAGAGCGACCAGCCACACUGGGACUGAGACACGGCCCAG